GGCGAGAUGGCCGAGCGGUCUAAGGCGCCAGACUAAGGAUCUGGUCCCUUCGGGGGCGUGGGUUCGAAUCCCACUCUCGUCA
Molecule: transfer RNA, 82 nt
Organism: Heterobasidion irregulare TC 32-1
Lineage: Eukaryota; Fungi; Basidiomycota; Agaricomycetes; Russulales; Bondarzewiaceae
Rfam family: tRNA
About the family: Transfer RNA (tRNA) molecules are approximately 80 nucleotides in length. Their secondary structure includes four short double-helical elements and three loops (D, anti-codon, and T loops). Further hydrogen bonds mediate the characteristic L-shaped molecular structure. tRNAs have two regions of fundamental functional importance: the anti-codon, which is responsible for specific mRNA codon recognition, and the 3' end, to which the tRNAs corresponding amino acid is attached (by aminoacyl-tRNA synthetases). tRNAs cope with the degeneracy of the genetic code in two manners: having more than one tRNA (with a specific anti-codon) for a particular amino acid; and 'wobble' base-pairing, i.e. permitting non-standard base-pairing at the 3rd anti-codon position.
Source: Rfam